This 208-nucleotide ribosomal RNA is filed under the name uncultured bacterium. RNAcentral describes it as "partial 16S ribosomal RNA". It matches the Rfam family "Bacterial small subunit ribosomal RNA", at positions 568 to 774 of the family's 1533-position model. The record is from RNAcentral.
CGCGUAGGCGGUUUGGUCAGUUGGAUGUGAAAGCCCAGGGCUUAACCUUGGAAUUGCAUUCAAUACUGCCAGGCUAGAGUACGGUAGAGGGGGGUAGAAUUCCACGUGUAGCGGUGAAAUGCGUAGAGAUGUGGAGGAAUACCAGUGGCGAAGGCGGCCCCCCUGGAUCGAUACUGACGCUGAGGUGCGAAAGCGUGGGGAGCAAACA